UUAACUGACGCUAAAGCUCGAAAGUGCGGGUAUCGAACAGGAUUAGAUACCCUGGUAGUCCGCACGGUAAACGAUGGAUGCCCGCUGUUGGCGAUAUAAUGUCAGCGGCCAAGUGAAAACGUUAAGCAUCCCACCUGGGGAGUACGCCGGCAACGGUGAAACUCAAAGGAAUUGACGGGGGCCCGCACAAGCGGAGGAACAUGUGGUUUAAUUCGAUGAUACGCGAGGAACCUUACCCGGGCUUGAACUGCAGGGGAACGAUCCAGAGAUGGUGAGGUCAGCAAUGACUCCUGUGGAGGUGCUGCAUGGUUGUCGUCAGCUCGUGCCGUGAGGUGUCGGCUUAAGUGCCAUAACGAGCGCAACCCUUUUCUCUAGUUGCCAUCAGGUUAGGCUGGGCACUCUGGAGACACUGCCACCGUAAGGUGUGAGGAAGGUGGGGAUGACGUCAAAUCAGCACGGCCCUUACGUCCGGGGCUACACACGUGUUACAAUGGGUGAUACAGAGAGUUAGUCGUUCGCAAGAACGGUUUAAUCAAGAAAGUCAUCCUCAGUUCGGAUUGGGGUCUGCAACCCGACCCCAUGAAGCUGGAUUCGCUAGUAA
RNAcentral lists this ribosomal RNA (601 nucleotides) under uncultured bacterium. RNAcentral describes it as "bacterial SSU rRNA". It matches the Rfam family "Bacterial small subunit ribosomal RNA", at positions 736 to 1341 of the family's 1533-position model. The record is from RNAcentral.